Molecule: small RNA, 411 nt
Filed under: Pseudoalteromonas rubra
Lineage: Bacteria; Pseudomonadati; Pseudomonadota; Gammaproteobacteria; Alteromonadales; Pseudoalteromonadaceae
Description: cspA thermoregulator
Rfam family: cspA thermoregulator
Source: Rfam by way of RNAcentral
CACAGCUCAAACAGCUGAGCUAUUAAUGAAUAUUUAGUACAAGCUUUCCCAGUUUCUUUUCGAUUUACUUCGUCAUACUUACCCUGCGAUAUCUUUUCCUUCAUUACAGAUUUAGUAGCUUCAAUUUAAAUUUUAUCGAUUAUAUCGAGGUAUGUAUGUCUAAUAAAACAACUGGUUCAGUAAAAUGGUUUAACGAAUCUAAAGGCUUUGGCUUUAUCACACCUGACAAUGGCGGCGCAGAUGUGUUUGUACACUUCAGAGCAAUUGAAGGUGAUGGUUUUAAAACUCUGGUUGAAGGGCAAAAAGUAGCUUUCAAUUCAGAACAAGGCGCCAAAGGCCCACAAGCUGCCAACGUCACUGCAGCUUAAUAUCAUAAUAAAGGGAUGUGUUGUUUAAAGCGCAUAUCCCUUU